GGCCCCAUCGUUCAGCGGUUAGGACUCCAGGUUUUCAUCCUGGCAACACGGGUUCGAUUCCCGUUGGGGUCACCA
Molecule: transfer RNA, 75 nt
Filed under: Kiritimatiellales bacterium
Lineage: Bacteria; Pseudomonadati; Kiritimatiellota; Kiritimatiellia; Kiritimatiellales
Also listed under: 1 other name
Description: tRNA-Glu
Rfam family: tRNA
About the family: Transfer RNA (tRNA) molecules are approximately 80 nucleotides in length. Their secondary structure includes four short double-helical elements and three loops (D, anti-codon, and T loops). Further hydrogen bonds mediate the characteristic L-shaped molecular structure. tRNAs have two regions of fundamental functional importance: the anti-codon, which is responsible for specific mRNA codon recognition, and the 3' end, to which the tRNAs corresponding amino acid is attached (by aminoacyl-tRNA synthetases). tRNAs cope with the degeneracy of the genetic code in two manners: having more than one tRNA (with a specific anti-codon) for a particular amino acid; and 'wobble' base-pairing, i.e. permitting non-standard base-pairing at the 3rd anti-codon position.
Source: RNAcentral